UUUAUAUGAGAGUUUGAUCCUGGCUCAGGAUGAACGCCGGCGGUGUGCCUAAUACAUGCAAGUCGUACGCACUGGCCCAACUGAUUGAUGGUGCUUGCACCUGAUUGACGAUGGAUCACCAGUGAGUGGCGGACGGGUGAGUAACACGUAGGUAACCUGCCCCGGAGCGGGGGAUAACAUUUGGAAACAGAUGCUAAUACCGCAUAACAACAAAAGCCACAUGGCUUUUGUUUGAAAGAUGGCUUUGGCUAUCACUCUGGGAUGGACCUGCGGUGCAUUAGCUAGUUGGUAAGGUAACGGCUUACCAAGGCGAUGAUGCAUAGCCGAGUUGAGAGACUGAUCGGCCACAAUGGAACUGAGACACGGUCCAUACUCCUACGGGAGGCAGCAGUAGGGAAUCUUCCACAAUGGGCGCAAGCCUGAUGGAGCAACACCGCGUGAGUGAAGAAGGGUUUCGGCUCGUAAAGCUCUGUUGUUGGAGAAGAACGUGCGUGAGAGUAACUGUUCACGCAGUGACGGUAUCCAACCAGAAAGUCACGGCUAACUACGUGCCAGCAGCCGCGGUAAUACGUAGGUGGCAAGCGUUAUCCGGAUUUAUUGGGCGUAAAGCGAGCGCAGGCGGUUGCUUAGGUCUGAUGUGAAAGCCUUCGGCUUAACCGAAGAAGUGCAUCGGAAACCGGGCGACUUGAGUGCAGAAGAGGACAGUGGAACUCCAUGUGUAGCGGUGGAAUGCGUAGAUAUAUGGAAGAACACCAGUGGCGAAGGCGGCUGUCUGGUCUGCAACUGACGCUGAGGCUCGAAAGCAUGGGUAGCGAACAGGAUUAGAURCCCUGGUAGUCCAUGCCGUAAACGAUGAGUGCUAGGUGUUGGAGGGUUUCCGCCCUUCAGUGCCGGAGCUAACGCAUUAAGCACUCCGCCUGGGGAGUACGACCGCAAGGUUGAAACUCAAAGGAAUUGACGGGGGCCCGCACAAGCGGUGGAGCAUGUGGUUUAAUUCGAAGCUACG
This 1006-nucleotide ribosomal RNA is filed under the name Limosilactobacillus reuteri. RNAcentral's name for it is "bacterial SSU rRNA". It matches the Rfam family "Bacterial small subunit ribosomal RNA", at positions 1 to 961 of the family's 1533-position model. The record is from RNAcentral. Lineage: Bacteria; Bacillati; Bacillota; Bacilli; Lactobacillales; Lactobacillaceae.